Molecule: transfer RNA, 66 nt
Filed under: Clemelis pullata
Lineage: Eukaryota; Metazoa; Arthropoda; Insecta; Diptera; Tachinidae
Also listed under: 2 other names
Description: tRNA-Gly
Source: RNAcentral
AUCUAUAUAAUAUAAAAAGUAUAUUUGACUUCCAAUCAUAAAGUCUAUAAAAUAAUAGUAUAGAUA